CGUGUUAAAAGUAGCUGCUGAAAAUUAAUUUUGUCCUCAGUUCAUCUUUUUCUCUCUGGGUACGAUGAAAUGCUGGCCGACGGAUGCCUCUUUAUGCUGAUAAACUCUUGUGUUUAGGGCUGUUUAUGUGGUCUGGAUAUCAUUCUUUAUCCAAACAAGCUGUGCCACGGUUCCCUUGAAAGGGAAACUGUGACCUGCAUUUUCCAGGGCAAUUAUUUCAUGCCAUCCGGGCUUUCACGACAUUGUCCUCACCUGCUCGAGUGAACCGAGCGAGAAUGCACCUUAAAAAAAAAGCGCCUGCCGACUAGUCAGACCUGGCGGUGACACUGUCGGGCAGGGAAGCGGACCUGAAGCUCAAGUCGUGCCUGGAGGUCACACAGGAAUCAAAGAGCAGCUAUUCCAAACAGGUUUCCAGCGGAGAGGAGGGGGAGCCGAGCUGUGGCACGCCGGCCUGCUGCUUUUGUCAGUCAGGCAACGAACGGUGUCUACAGUGGAGUGGAAACUGUUCUGGACGAUGCCACUGGAACUCCUGAUUCUGCAUCGGGGAUGUUGAACGGCGCACUCGGGUGUGUUUCUGAGACCCCGUUCUCACCUCUGGACCACAUCUGGCACCUCCAGCCAGAGCUCCAGAGGUGUCUGUACUUGCUCAGUGGUAAUUGCUAAUGUCUACAGUGGAGUAGAAGCUGUUCUGGACGAUGCCACUGGAACUCCUGAUUCUGCAUCGGGGAUGUUGAACGGCGCACUCGGGCGUGUUUCUGAGACCCCGUUCUCACCUCUGGACCACAUCUGGCACCUCCAGCCAGAGCUCCAGAGGUGUCUGUACUUGCUCAGUGGUAAUUGCUAAUGGUAAUUACCAACCUUCUCCCUGAACCAGGAGCCUCAUAUAAAUAAAUGACCGGCGUGGCGGGCAUGGCAGUUUCCCAGCAGCGCCCUGUAUCUCUAACGCUGUCCUUCACCCUAAUUCCACCGCCGGGACCUCGACUGGAUCUCAGGUUCUCCGGCUCGCAGACCGCACCUAUUAUCUUCAACUGCUGAGGCUAUUAACCAAUGCACUCGUGUGCUGUAUGGCGGCUCUCUUAUUAGUCUGGCCUGGUGAAGCCGAGCCUCUCAAGUCGGUUCUUUGAGCCUCGACGCCACACUCCCACCACCGAUGGUCCAUCUGCUGAGAUUGAGGACUCCUCUCUGCAUGACUAGCUUCCCCUCCGGGCGCUCUCUCACCGAGGCCACCUGCACGGUUCACACAGAAAAUGGCUGAAAUGGCUGGAGCGAGAUUUUGCCUCCAGUGCAAAUCCUCCCCUCCCUUCCCCACCCGCCGCCUCAACAUCUAAGUUGGAGGCGAGUUGACUUCUUGAGACCGCAGGGAUUCGCCGCUGCCUCCUACUGAGUCGAUGCGAGUGGCAGUGCAGGGGAAAGGAAGGUGGAGGGAAACAGUAUGUGAUAGUAAGUGAACUCGAGUCUUCCCUAAUUAGGCGCCAGGCCUUCAUUCAGCACAUUUAUGGUCUAAUAAAGCAUGGAGGGUGUGCGGUGCGCUGUGAUUAAACAGACGUUUGCUUUAAUACGCGGCGGCUGGAGCAGUACGUAGGGGCUGGUUCUGGAUGCGUGCCACAGACGUGAGCGGCCCUCUGCUCGUCUUCUGGACUAAUUAUCCCGAUGUUCUCCUGAUUUUUUUUAAGCCCUCGACAGACAGGCGAACGGCAGGACGAGGGAGGCCCAAGCGAAGCCGAGGCAGCCGCUGAAAUUGUCAAAAUCACUUAAUCCAUCUCCCGAGCAUGCUAAUGUAAUUGCUUUUUGAUUAAUUGCACCGGUGGAAAAAAUAAAAAAUAAUAAAAAAAAUAUUGGAGCUGGCUUGUUGUUGUUGUUGUCAGAUUACAGCUUCCUCAGAGUGAUUGGUUGUAAACAUAUCCCUUCAUUCUACAUUUUUAAUGAGACAGCCCGCUUGAAAUCUUCGUGAAAUGUCACUUUCAAUAAUUACGUUCUGGAGUUCAUCCGAAUGUUGGCACGAGGAGUUUGACCCCCUUCGUCGGAAAUACUCCAAAAUUCUGUCGCUGGAACUUCACAGCAAACUUCAAGUUAAAGUCAGAAGCGGUAAUUACACGGAAAAGAGAUGAGUCGUGUCGGUGAGACGCCACUGAAAGCAGCACGGCCUUUUCACAGAAGAUGUUCUGACACAUCACAGCAGGAAAUAUGCAAGUAUACGGCAAGAAAUACGCUUAAUGACGGCUGAUUGAGCUGUUCUGAAGCAUUUUAUUAG
This is a long non-coding RNA of Acanthochromis polyacanthus (spiny chromis), 2251 nucleotides long. RefSeq lists it as uncharacterized. The transcript has 4 exons. The record is from RefSeq and is a predicted model, not a curated record. NCBI's taxonomy places the organism in Eukaryota, Metazoa, Chordata, Actinopteri, Pomacentridae.